CGAUUGGCGGACGGGUGAGUAAUGCUUGGGAACUUGCCUUUGCGAGGGGGAUAACAGUUGGAAACGACUGCUAAUACCGCAUAAUGUCUACGGACCAAACGGGGCUUCGGCUCCGGCGCAAAGAGAGGCCCAAGUGAGAUUAGCUAGUUGGUAAGGUAACGGCUUACCAAGGCGACGAUCUCUAGCUGUUCUGAGAGGAAGAUCAGCCACACUGGGACUGAGACACGGCCCAGACUCCUACGGGAGGCAGCAGUGGGGAAUAUUGCACAAUGGGGGAAACCCUGAUGCAGCCAUGCCGCGUGUGUGAAGAAGGCCUUCGGGUUGUAAAGCACUUUCAGUUGUGAGGAAAAGUUAGUAGUUAAUACCUGCUAGCCGUGACGUUAACAACAGAAGAAGCACCGGCUAACUCCGUGCCAGCAGCCGCGGUAAUACGGAGGGUGCGAGCGUUAAUCGGAAUUACUGGGCGUAAAGCGCACGCAGGCGGUUUGUUAAGCUAGAUGUGAAAGCCCCGGGCUCAACCUGGGAUGGUCAUUUAGAACUGGCAGACUAGAGUCUUGGAGAGGGGAGUGGAAUUCCAGGUGUAGCGGUGAAAUGCGUAGAUAUCUGNGAGGAACAUCAGUGGCGAAGGCGACUCCCUGGCCAAAGACUGACGCUCAUGUGCGAAAGUGUGGGUAGCGAACAGGAUUAGAUACCCUGGUAGUCCACACCGUAAACGCUGUCUACUAGCUGUGUGUGCCUUUAAGGCGUGCGUAGCGAAGCUAACGCGCUAAGUAGACCGCCUGGGGAGUACGGCNNCNGCAAGGUUAAAACUCAAAUGAAUUGACGGGGGCCCGCACAAG
Molecule: ribosomal RNA, 839 nt
Filed under: uncultured Alteromonas sp.
Lineage: Bacteria; Pseudomonadati; Pseudomonadota; Gammaproteobacteria; Alteromonadales; Alteromonadaceae
Description: bacterial SSU rRNA
Rfam family: Bacterial small subunit ribosomal RNA
Source: RNAcentral